CAGUCGCCGCGGUAAUACAGAGGGUGCAAGCGUUAAUCGGAUUUACUGGGCGUAAAGGGCGCGUAGGUGGUUAUUUAAGUGAGAUGUGAAAGCCCCGGGCUUAACCUGGGAACUGCAUCUUAUACUGGGUAACUGGAGUGCAGUAGAGGGUAGUGGAAUUUCCGGUGUAGCGGUGAAAUGCGUAGAUAUCGGAAGGAACACCAGUGGCGAAGGCGGCUACCUGGACUGAGACUGACACUGAGGCGCGAGAGCGUGGGGAGCAAACAGGAUUAGAGACCCCAGUAGUCCCUGUCUCUUAUAA
RNAcentral lists this ribosomal RNA (301 nucleotides) under uncultured bacterium. RNAcentral describes it as "partial 16S ribosomal RNA". It matches the Rfam family "Bacterial small subunit ribosomal RNA", at positions 509 to 809 of the family's 1533-position model. The record is from RNAcentral.